This is a long non-coding RNA of Quercus robur (English oak), 827 nucleotides long. RefSeq lists it as uncharacterized. The transcript has 2 exons. NCBI's taxonomy places the organism in Eukaryota, Viridiplantae, Streptophyta, Magnoliopsida, Fagales, Fagaceae. The record is from RefSeq and is a predicted model, not a curated record.
UUUAUUAAUGUUAUAUAUGAGUUAGGCAGGCGCACCCAUUUGGCAAAGAGCUCAACAGCAUAAUAACAAGGCCCAUUCAUUAACCUUAAUCAAAAUUCAAACACGAAGACAUUCAUGCUUUCCCAAAGAAAAAACAAAUGAAAAGGAAAACAAAACUGAAAAGAGAAAACACGAAGACAAACAGUUAGUCUGCCAAAUCAGUACCCCAGUUAGUCUACUGUUAAAAAACUAACGGAAUAGUCACGUGAGACACACGUGACUUUUAAAAAACAAACUCAGUCCUGUUAAUUUGAAACCAGAUGGAUUGAAGAAAACAAAGGAGAGUUAGGUCUGGCCGGAGAGAAAAGAGAAAGAGGCAGCCACCGCAGAACGUCACCCAUCAUCUCUUCGCCCGAGUCCCGACGGCGCUUGGUGGUUCUGCCGCUCUGUUUGACAGCCACCACUUGGAUUGUAAUGUAUGUAACUACUUUGAAUGGCACGAUAUUGAAUUCACCCUAAGGAGCAAAAGUGUUAUUAAUGGACUAUUGGACACCAACCGAAGACUUAAGAAUGAAGCAGCAAUGAAUAAGAGGAUUUUUAAGUGGCUUAGUGUUUUUUGGUGGUUUCUUGGAUCAUCAGGGGAUUGCGGUAGCCUUUUAUUUAGUAUUGAGUUUUAAUGUUAGACGUCAUCUUUACAUGAAGUGACUAUUGAUGUAGGAGUGCUAGAAAAAAAAAGGAUUUGUAAUGUAAUAUAUCUAUAUAUUUAGAUUAAAUUUAAAGUAAUAUAUAAAAAUGUUCACAAGUAUGUAAUGUUCAAUUUGAUUUUGGUCUAGUAAGAUUUGGAAAAA